RNAcentral lists this ribosomal RNA (702 nucleotides) under uncultured Alphaproteobacteria bacterium. Its description in RNAcentral is "bacterial SSU rRNA". It matches the Rfam family "Bacterial small subunit ribosomal RNA", at positions 28 to 776 of the family's 1533-position model. The record is from RNAcentral. Lineage: Bacteria; Pseudomonadati; Pseudomonadota; Alphaproteobacteria.
AACGAACGCUGGCGGCAGGCCUAACACAUGCAAGUCGAGCGGACCCUUCGGGGUUAGCGGCGGACGGGUGAGUAACGCGUGGGAAUAUGCCCUUCUCUACGGAAUAGUCCUGGGAAACUGGGGGUAAUACCGUAUACGCCCUUUGGGGGAAAGAUUUAUCGGGGAAGGAUUAGCCCGCGUUGGAUUAGGUAGUUGGUGGGGUAAUGGCCUACCAAGCCGACGAUCCAUAGCUGGUUUGAGAGGAUGAUCAGCCACACUGGGACUGAGACACGGCCCAGACUCCUACGGGAGGCAGCAGUGGGGAAUCUUAGACAAUGGGGGCAACCCUGAUCUAGCCAUGCCGCGUGAGUGAUGAAGGCCUUAGGGUUGUAAAGCUCUUUCAGCUGGGAAGAUAAUGACGGUACCAGCAGAAGAAGCCCCGGCUAACUCCGUGCCAGCAGCCGCGGUAAUACGGAGGGGGCUAGCGUUGUUCGGAAUUACUGGGCGUAAAGCGCACGUAGGCGGACCGGAAAGUUGGGGGUGAAAUCCCGGGGCUCAACCUCGGAACUGCCUUCAAAACUACUGGUCUUGAGCUCGAGAGAGGUGAGUGGAAUUCCGAGUGUAGAGGUGAAAUUCGUAGAUAUUCGGAGGAACACCAGUGGCGAAGGCGGCUCACUGGCUCGAUACUGACGCUGAGGUGCGAAAGCGUGGGGAGCAAACAGG